Molecule: ribosomal RNA, 253 nt
Filed under: uncultured bacterium
Lineage: Bacteria
Description: partial 16S ribosomal RNA
Rfam family: Bacterial small subunit ribosomal RNA
Source: RNAcentral
UACGGGGGGGGCAAGCGUUGUUCGGAAUUACUGGGCGUAAAGGGCUCGUAGGCGGCCAACUAAGUCGGACGUGAAAUCCCUCGGCUUAACCGGAGAACUGCGUCCGAUACUGGAUGGCUUGAGUUCGGGAGAGGGAUGCGGAAUUCCAGGUGUAGCGGUGAAAUGCGUAGAUAUCUGGAGGAACACCGGUGGCGAAGGCGGCAUCCUGGACCGACACUGACGCUGAGGAGCGAAAGCCAGGGGAGCAAACGGG